GCUUGCUAAUGAUGACUUUUCAUUCUACCUACAUUGUUUGAUAACUACAAUGAGAAAAAGCAUGAAUUCUGAUGCACAU
Lytechinus pictus (painted urchin) is the source of this 79-nucleotide small nucleolar RNA. RefSeq annotates it as small nucleolar RNA SNORD34. The transcript has a single exon. The record is from RefSeq and is a predicted model, not a curated record. NCBI's taxonomy places the organism in Eukaryota, Metazoa, Echinodermata, Echinoidea, Temnopleuroida, Toxopneustidae.